RNAcentral lists this small nuclear RNA (103 nucleotides) under Peromyscus maniculatus bairdii (prairie deer mouse). Lineage: Eukaryota; Metazoa; Chordata; Mammalia; Rodentia; Cricetidae. The record is from RNAcentral.
AUGUUCACUUCCACAGUACAUAUACUAAAAUUUGGAAUGAUGCAGAUUCCCACAGCCCCUGUGCAAGGAUCACAUGGAAACCCAUGAAGCAUUCCGUAAUUUU